UACGGGGGGGGCAAGCGUUGUUCGGAAUUACUGGGCGUAAAGGGCUCGUAGGCGGCCAACUAAGUCAGACGUGAAAUCCCUCGGCUUAACCGGGGAACUGCGUCUGAUACUGGAUGGCUUGAAUCCGGGAGAGGGAUGCGGAAUUCCAGGUGUAGCGGUGAAAUGCGUAGAUAUCGGAAGGAACAUCAGUGGCGAAAGCGGCUUCCUGGACCAGCACCGACGUUCAGGCACGAAAGCGUGGGGAGCAAACAGG
Molecule: ribosomal RNA, 253 nt
Filed under: uncultured bacterium
Lineage: Bacteria
Description: partial 16S ribosomal RNA
Rfam family: Bacterial small subunit ribosomal RNA
Source: RNAcentral